This 423-nucleotide ribosomal RNA is filed under the name uncultured bacterium. Its description in RNAcentral is "bacterial SSU rRNA". It matches the Rfam family "Bacterial small subunit ribosomal RNA", at positions 355 to 775 of the family's 1533-position model. The record is from RNAcentral.
UAAGGAAUAUUGGUCAAUGGACGGAAGUCUGAACCAGCCAUGCCGCGUGAAGGAAGAAGGCCCUACGGGUUGUAAACUUCUUUUACCAGGGGAGAAAUCUCCUCAUUUAUGAGGAGUUGACGGUACCUGGGGAAUAAGCACCGGCUAACUCCGUGCCAGCAGCCGCGGUAAUACGGAGGGUGCAAGCGUUAUCCGGAAUCACUGGGUUUAAAGGGUGCGUAGGCGGUUUGAUAAGUCAGUGGUGAAAGCUCAUCGCUCAACGAUGAAAUUGCCAUUGAUACUGUCAGACUUGAAUUAGGAUAAGGUAAGCGGAAUGUGGCAUGUAGCGGUGAAAUGCAUAGAUAUGCCAUAGAACACCAAUUGCGAAGGCAGCUUACUGGGCCUUGAUUGACGCUGAGGCACGAAAGCGUGGGGAUCAAACAG